GGGCCCGCACAAGCGGUGGAGUAUGUGGUUUAAUUCGAUGCAACGCGAAGAACCUUACCAGGGUUUGACAUCCUGCGAAUUUCUGGGAAACCGGAAAGUGCCUUCGGGAGCGCAGUGACAGGUGGUGCAUGGCUGUCGUCAGCCCGUGUCGUGAGAUGUUGGGUUAAGUCCCAGCAACGAGCGCAACCACGUCUUUAGUUGCCAGCAUUUAGUUGGGCACUCUAGAGAGACUGCCGGUGAUAAACCGGAGAAGGUGUGGAUGACGUCAAGUCAUCAUGCCCCUUACAUCUGGGCUACACACGUACUACAAUGCUACGGACAAAGGGCUGCAAGUUCGCGAGGACAAGCAAAUCCCAUAAACGUGGCUC
RNAcentral lists this ribosomal RNA (368 nucleotides) under uncultured bacterium. RNAcentral's name for it is "bacterial SSU rRNA". It matches the Rfam family "Bacterial small subunit ribosomal RNA", at positions 917 to 1289 of the family's 1533-position model. The record is from RNAcentral.